Molecule: ribosomal RNA, 521 nt
Filed under: uncultured bacterium
Lineage: Bacteria
Description: bacterial SSU rRNA
Rfam family: Bacterial small subunit ribosomal RNA
Source: RNAcentral
AGAGUUGAUCAUGGCGUCAGGAUGAACGCUAGCGACAGGCUAACACAUGCAAGUCGAGGGGCAGCAUAAAAGUAGCAAUACGUUGGUGGCGACCGGCGCACGGGUGAGUAACGCGUAUGCAACCUACCUAUCGAGAGGGGAAUAACCCGGCGAAAGUCGGACUAAUACCGCAUAAAACAGGGGGCACCGCAUGGUGAUAUUUGUUAAAGAAAUUCGCUGAUAGAUGGGCAUGCGUUCCAUUAGGUAGUUGGUGAGGUAACGGCUCACCAAGCCGACGAUGGAUAGGGGAACUGAGAGGUUGGUCCCCCACACUGGUACUGAGACACGGACCAGACUCCUACGGGAGGCAGCAGUGAGGAAUAUUGGUCAAGUGGGCGGGAGCCUGAACCAGCCAAGUCGCGUUAGAAGGAAGAAGGAUCUAUGGUUCGUAAACUUCUUUGCAGGGGAAUAAAGUGCAGGACGUGUCCUGUUUUGUAUGUACCCUGAGAAUAAGGAUCGGCUAACUCCGUGCCAGCCGCCGC